RNAcentral lists this ribosomal RNA (682 nucleotides) under uncultured fungus. RNAcentral describes it as "eukaryotic LSU rRNA". The stretch from base 215 to 368 matches the Rfam family "5.8S ribosomal RNA". The record is from RNAcentral. Lineage: Eukaryota; Fungi.
CUUGGUCAUUUAGAGGAAGUAAAAGUCGUAACAAGGUUUCCGUAGGUGAACCUGCGGAAGGAUCAUUCAUAAUAAGUGUUUUAUGGCACUUUUAAAUCCAUAUCCACCUUGUGUGCAAUGUCAGUCGAUCUUCUUCAUGGAGAUCGACCAAACAUCAACCUUUAUUUUUUAACUCUUUGUCUGAAAAAUAUUAUGAAUAAACAAUUCAAAAUACAACUUUCAACAACGGAUCUCUUGGCUCUCGCAUCGAUGAAGAACGCAGCGAAAUGCGAUACGUAAUGUGAAUUGCAGAAUUCAGUGAAUCAUCGAAUCUUUGAACGCAUAUUGCGCUCUUUGGUAUUCCGAAGAGCAUGCUUGUUUGAGUAUCAGUAAACACCUCAAAGCUUUUGGAUUUUUUAAUCGAAAAGCUUUGGACUUGAGCAAUCCCAACACCAAUCUUUUUGAGAUCGGUGGCGGGUUGCUUGAAAUGCAGGUGCAGCUGGACAUUCUCCUGAGCUAAAAGCAUAUUCAUUUAGUCCCGUCAAACGGAUUAUUACUUUUGCUGCAGCUAACAUAAAGGGAGUUUGACCGUAUUGGCUGACUGAUGCAGGAUUUCACAAGGGUCGGCAACGAUUCUUGUUAAACUCGAUCUCAAAUCAAGUAAGACUACCCGCUGAACUUAAGCAUAUCAAUAAGCGGAGGA